UUCUUUUUGCAGAGCAAAUAUCAAAGUCUGUGAAGUACAACUGAGAUGUUAUAAUUGUUGGUUGAAAAGUUAACCCAAUACCCAAAGGAUGGCUCUAAACUUGCAAUCCAUUGCAAUUCUUGCCUGUCUCCAACAGG
Molecule: small nuclear RNA, 137 nt
Gene: U4
Rfam family: U4 spliceosomal RNA
About the family: U4 small nuclear RNA (U4 snRNA) is a component of the major U2-dependent spliceosome.
Source: Ensembl